AGCGAACGCUGGCGGCAGGCCUAACACAUGCAAGUCGAACGAACCUUUCGGGGUUAGUGGCGGACGGGUGAGUAACACGUGGGAACGUGCCUUUAGGUUCGGAAUAACUCAGGGAAACUUGUGCUAAUACCGAAUGUGCCCUUCGGGGGAAAGAUUUAUCGCCUUUAGAGCGGCCCGCGUCUGAUUAGCUAGUUGGUUGAGGUAAUGGCUCACCAAGGCGACGAUCAGUAGCUGGUCUGAGAGGAUGAUCAGCCACAUUGGGACUGAGACACGGCCCAAACUCCUACGGGAGGCAGCAGUGGGGAAUCUUAGACAAUGGGGGAAACCCUGAUCUAGCCAUGCCGCGUGAGCGAUGAAGGCCUUAGGGUUGUAAAGCUCUUUCAGCUGGGAAGAUAAUGACGGUACCAGCAGAAGAAGCCCCGGCUAACUCCGUG
This 434-nucleotide ribosomal RNA is filed under the name uncultured bacterium. RNAcentral describes it as "partial 16S ribosomal RNA". It matches the Rfam family "Bacterial small subunit ribosomal RNA", at positions 29 to 507 of the family's 1533-position model. The record is from RNAcentral.